GCCGUCUUCCAAGCGGCGGCGCCAAUUUUUGAUCUCCUUUACAUCAGCCAGGGCGGACUCAUGGCUCAAGACAUCGAAAUCGUCGUUGAAGAUCCGACCGCGCCGGACGAGAACUCGCCCGCGAUCACCAACAAUCGCACGGUCGAGAUGGUGGUCAUGGCGCUGCUGUUCGGGCUUGCUGUGCUGCUCGGCUUCGACAACUGGCGCACCGGCGCAUCGUGGGACGACACGGGCCCGCAGGCCG
This 244-nucleotide unclassified non-coding RNA is filed under the name Hevea brasiliensis (rubber tree). Lineage: Eukaryota; Viridiplantae; Streptophyta; Magnoliopsida; Malpighiales; Euphorbiaceae. The record is from RNAcentral.